GGGCGCGUAGCUCAGCGGGAGAGCACUCCCUUCACACGGGAGGGGUCGCAGGUUCAAUCCCUGUCGCGCCCACCA
Molecule: transfer RNA, 75 nt
Filed under: Brucella sp. 09RB8913
Lineage: Bacteria; Pseudomonadati; Pseudomonadota; Alphaproteobacteria; Hyphomicrobiales; Brucellaceae
Also listed under: 1 other name
Description: tRNA-Val
Rfam family: tRNA
About the family: Transfer RNA (tRNA) molecules are approximately 80 nucleotides in length.
Source: RNAcentral